Molecule: long non-coding RNA, 1375 nt
Filed under: Equus caballus (horse)
Lineage: Eukaryota; Metazoa; Chordata; Mammalia; Perissodactyla; Equidae
Description: lncRNA (ENSECAG00000056838.1)
Source: RNAcentral
AGUGGAUGGGCUUGUUAAAACAGGUUUCUGGGUCUCACUCUGACAGUUUCUGAUUCUGUAAGUCUGGGACGGGGCCAGAGAGUUUGAAUUUCUACAAGUUCCCUGGUGUGAUAGGCAGCUUUCCAAAGCUAUCCCAGCAGGAACCCCAUCCCCUGGUUAGUCACUGAAACACCAUCCAGGAACUGCUGGGAAGGGACUAGCAGGUGGGGUUCAGGCUCCUAACGGACUGACUGUGAAGGAGGGAGAUGCUCCUGGCUUAUCUGGGUGGGUCCAGGGUAGUCACCUGAGCCCUAAAAGCAGAGAGAGGUCAGACAAAGGUGGAGCAUGAGGAAGGUUCCCUCUGCCCUUGCUGGCUUUGGAGACGGAGGAAGGAGCUGGAGCCAAUGAUGCGGUUGGCCUCUGGAAACCAAGAACAGCCCCAAACAGCUCAUGGAACCCAGGGCCUUGAGACUGCACGCAACUGAUUUCUGACAACAGCCUGAAGGAGCUUGAAAGAGAUUCAUCCGCAGAGCUUCUGGAGAGGGCUGCAGCCCUGAGCCAGGUCUCCUGGACGCUCAGCAGAGAGGCAUCUGAGCCGCGCUGUGCUGGGCUUCUGACCUACAGAAACUGUGAGAGGAUGCAUUUGCGUUGUUCUGAUCAUUGAAUUUCUGGUGAUUCGUUACGGCAGCAAUAGAAAGUUAAUACUCGUGGUAUACUGAUGCUGCUGGACCACAAUGUGAGAAUCGCUGGCUUGUCUGGUAUGUGCAAACUGACGUGCAGUCAGCAAAGACGGAGGUGAGAUACGGACCUGGGUGGAACGACUCUAGGCGGGACCUAAGCUCUUGUUUGCUGUUGACUUCACGAUUCUCCAUGGAAUUUCUGUGACUUCCCACACUUAUUUUCGAACAGUCAGUCCCACUCAUCGUCAGUCCUAGCACACGCACACUGUUAUAACCCCGCCUUCACCAGCCAAUGCGAAGACCUUCACCAUUUCACUUUAUUUCCCAUGAGAAAAUCCAAUCAGUUAAGACCUCGUGGAUUUGGUAAUGUAGCUGCAAACGUGAAGGAUUGUAAGGAGUGACCACAUCACAGUCUCCCACCAGAGUGCCCGCCCUGCUUGUCGGGCUCUGCCACCUUUUCAACGCCUGGGCCCCUGACUGAAGACCCUUCUCAUGACUCGCAGGCCCUUGAAAAGCAUGGGCCACUCUGAUCAGUUCAAUCCCUUCUUUUAUGGGGAACAUUCUUUUUCAGGUUAUUCUGCCUGCUACUGACACCUGAAAUUACAAGGAACACACAUUUUUCCGUUUCUCCACGUUGAUGAUGUGGAAGUGUAAUGUGACUGAUGCUUGUGCCACGAAUCAGUGGUAGGAGUGAUACCUGAUUGCAGCAAACAGAC